UUAAGUUCAGCGGGUAGUCCUACCUGAUUUGAGGUCAGAUUUCAAAGUUUGUUGCUUGACCGCCGCUCUGAUAGGCAGGGUCGGGGAAGGGCACAGGAAGGGGAACGUCUCUGUCGAGCGAGGAUGGUACAACGCCCAGUCGAGUUCGACCCACAGGCCCAACCGAUGCAUUUGAGGGGAGCCGCCUCACGGCAGCAGAG
This 200-nucleotide unclassified non-coding RNA is filed under the name Trechispora sp. RNAcentral's name for it is "partial internal transcribed spacer 2". The record is from RNAcentral. Lineage: Eukaryota; Fungi; Basidiomycota; Agaricomycetes; Trechisporales; Hydnodontaceae.